Molecule: long non-coding RNA, 2611 nt
Filed under: Oryzias javanicus (javanese ricefish)
Lineage: Eukaryota; Metazoa; Chordata; Actinopteri; Beloniformes; Adrianichthyidae
Description: lncRNA (ENSOJAG00000023587.1)
Source: RNAcentral
AUGUUCUCGUCUUCACAUUUCUUGUUAAAACAGUCCUCCUUCCAUGUUGCACCACAGGGCCAGCUUUGGUUAUUUUUAAUGUCUCUACAUUCACAAGGUGUAGUUGUUGGUGUCGAGGUAGUGGUUGUAGUGGUAGUGGAUGUAGUUGUAGUUGAUGGUGUCAAGGUGGUGGUUGUUGGAGGUGUAGUUGUUGGCGUUAAUGUGGUUGUUGUUGUAGUAGUUGUAGAUGUUGUUGAAGUUGUUGGAGGUGUAGUUGUCGGUGUGACUAUGGUGGUUGUUGGAGGUGUUGUUGUUGGUGUUAAGGUUGUGGUUGUGGACGUAGUUGGAGGUGUAGUUGUUGGUGUCAAGGUAGUCGUUGUAGUAGUAGUAGAGGUAGUAGUUGUUAGCGUAGUGGUAGGUGUCACAGUGGUGGUUGUUGUGGGUGAAGUUGUUGGUGUCAAGGUAGUUGUUGUAGGUGUUGUUGUUGGUGUUAAAGUAGUGGUUGUGGUUGUGGACGUAGUUGGAGUUGUUGUAAGUGUAGUUGUUGGUGUGACUGUGGUGGUUGUUGUAGGUGUUGUUGGUGUUAAUGUAGUGGUUGUAGUUGUGGACGUAGUUGUAGUAGUUGGAGGUGUAGUUGUUGGUGUCAAAGUAGUGGUUGUAGUAGUAGUGGUUGUAGUUGUGGAUGUAGUUGUAGUAGUUGGAGGUGUAGUUGUUGGUGUCAAGGUAGUCGUCGUAAUAGAUGUGGAUGUAGUUGUACUUGUUGGUGGAGUUGUAGGUGUCACUGUGGUGGUUGUUGUGGGUUUAGUUGUAGGUGUCAAGGUAGUUGUAGUCGUAGUGGAUGUAGUUGUAGAUGUUGUAGGUGUUGUUGUAGGUGUCACUGUGGUGGUGGUUGUAGGUGUAUUUGUAGUUGAUGGUGUCAAGGUAGAGGUUGUAGUAGUAGUGGUUGAAGUUGUAGUUGUGGAGGUAGUUGUAGUAGUUGGAGGUGUAGUUGUUGGUGUCAAGGUAGUCGUUGUAGUAGAUGUGGAUGUAGAUGUACUUGUAGGUGGAGUUGUAGGUGUCACUGUGGUGGUUGUUGUAGGUGUUGUUGUUGGUGUUAAGGUAGUUGUUGUAGUUGUGGAUGUCGUAGUAGUUGGAGGUGUAGUUGUUGGUGUCAAGGUAGUUGUAGGUGUUGUUGUUGGUGUUAAGGUAGUGGUUGUAGUUGUGGAUGUAGUUGGAGUUGUUGUAGGUGUAGUUGUUGGUGUGACUGUGGUGGUUGUUGUAGGUGUUGUUGUUGGUGUUAAGGUAGUCGUUGUAGUUGUGGACGUAGUUGUAGUAGUUGGAGGUGUAGUUGUUGGUGUCAAGGUAGUGGUUGUAGUUGUAGUCGUAGUGGAUGUAGUUGUAGGUGUUGUUGUAGGUGUCACUGUGGUGGUGGUUGUAGGUGUAAUUGUAGUUGAUGGUGUCAAGGUAGUGGUUGUUGUAGUAGUGGUUGUAGUUGUAGUUGUGAUGUAGUAGUAGUUGGAGUGUAGUUGUUGGUGUCAAGGUAGUGGUUGUAGUUGUGGACGUAGUUGGUGUAGUUGUUGGUGUGACUGUGGUGGUUGUUGUAGGUGUUGUUGUUGGUGUUAAGGUAGUGGUUGUAGUUGUGGACGUAGUUGUAGUAGUUGUAGGUGUUGUUGGUGUCAAGGUAGUCGUUGUAGUAGAUGUGGAUGUAGUUGUACUUGUAGGUGGAGUUGUAGGUGUCACUGUGGUGGUUGUUGUGGGUGUAGUUGUAGGUGUCAAAGUAGUUGUUGUAGUAGUAGUAGUGGAUGUAGUUGUAGAUGAUGUUGUAGGUGUUGUUGUAGGUGUUUCUGUGGUGGUGGAUGUAGGUGUAGUUGUAGUUGAUGGUGUCAAGGUAGUAGUUGUAGUUGUGGAUGUAGUUGUAGUAGUUGGAGGUGUAGUUGUUGGUGUUAAUGUGGUUGUAGUUGAUGGUGUCACGGUAGUUGUUGUAGUGGGUGUUGUUGUAGGUGUCAAGGUAGUGGUUGUAGUAGUAGUGGAUGUAGUUGUAGUUGAUGGUGUCAAGGUAGUGGUUGUUGGAGGUGUAGUUGUUGGUGUUGAUGUGGUUGUUGUUGUAGGUGUCACAGUGGUAGUUGUAGUAGUUGUAGUUGUGGUUGUUGUAGGUGUAGUUGUUGGUAGCGUAGUUGAUGGUGUCACUGUGGUGGUGGUACUAGUAGUUGUAGGUAUUGUUGUUGGAGUCGGUGGUGCUGUGUAAAACAUACUUUUAUAAAUAAUUUGAAUACAAUUUUAGAAAGGGAAUUUAGAUUAUGUUUGAUACUUACAACAGUAAACUGUUCCAUUUGAACAGGAGCUAAUUGUAAAAGAGAGAAUAAUAAGAACCAAAGUAAUGUAUCAUUUUAUUUUCAAAUCAUAGUUUGGUGCAGGCAACUUACCACUCAUCAGAUACUGGUCCUGGUGGAACAACAGUGUCAUUGAAAUAACAGCUGCAGUUCCUGAGUUGAGUGCAUUUGCUUGUAUUUUCAUCAAAGUAUGGUGUUUCUUUUGGACAUCUUGGGUAGCAACCUUCACAAAAAAUAAAUCAAAUGUAUAACAUUUUUGGAGAAAACUAUCAUUGUUAUUGUUACCUUAAGUUAAGACUCAAAUGUAAUUUACAAAAGUCUUU